ACAAGCGGUGGAGCAUUGUGCUUAAUUCGAAGCAACGCGAAGAACCUUAUCCUAGGUUUGACAUACACGGAUUAGCUCUAAGAAACUAGAGUGACACCUUCGGGUGGAACGUGAACAGGUGCUGCAUGGCUGUCGUCAGCUCGUGCUGUGAAGUGUCGGGUUAAGUCCCUUAACGAGCGCAACCCUUAUCGUUAGUUGCUAACAGGUAAUGCUGAGGACUCUAGCGAGACUGCCGGUGUUAAACCGGAGGAAGGUGGGGAUGACGUCAAGUCCGCAUGGCCUUUAUGCCUAGGGCUGCACACGUGCUACAAUGGCAAGUACAGAACGAAGCAAUACCGCAAGGUGGAGCAAAUCGCUAAAGCUUGCCCCAGUUCGGAUUGCAGGCUGCAACUCGCCUGCAUGAAGUUGGAAUCGCUAGUAAUCGCGGAUCAGCAUGCCGCGGUGAAUACGUUCCUGAGCCUUGUACACACCGCCCGUCAAGUCAUGGAAGCUGGUAGUGCCUUAAGUCGCCGAGAUUCAUCGGUGCCCACGGCAAGACUGGUGACUGGGACUAAGUCGUAACAAGGUA
RNAcentral lists this ribosomal RNA (568 nucleotides) under uncultured marine bacterium. RNAcentral describes it as "bacterial SSU rRNA". It matches the Rfam family "Bacterial small subunit ribosomal RNA", at positions 925 to 1498 of the family's 1533-position model. The record is from RNAcentral.